RNAcentral lists this ribosomal RNA (463 nucleotides) under uncultured bacterium. Its description in RNAcentral is "bacterial SSU rRNA". It matches the Rfam family "Bacterial small subunit ribosomal RNA", at positions 917 to 1382 of the family's 1533-position model. The record is from RNAcentral.
GGGCCCGCACAAGCGGUGGAGCAUGUGGUUCAAUUCGACGCAACGCGCAGAACCUUACCUGGUCUUGACAUCCUCGGAACCUGCCAGAGAUGGCGGGGUGCCCGCAAGGGAGCCGAGAGACAGGUGCUGCAUGGCUGUCGUCAGCUCGUGUCGUGAGAUGUUGGGUUAAGUCCCGCAACGAGCGCAACCCUCUCCUUUAGUUGCCACCAAAAGUGGAUCUCUAGAGGGACUGCCGGUGUUAAACCGGAGGAAGGUGGGGAUGACGUCAAGUCCUCAUGGCCUUUAUGACCAGGGCUACACACGUGCUACAAUGGCCGGUACAAAGCGCUGCCAACCCGCGAGGGGGAGCCAAUCGCAUAAAACCGGUCUCAGUUCAGAUUGGAGUCUGCAACUCGACUUCAUGAAGGCGGAAUCGCUAGUAAUCGUAGAUCAGCACGCUACGGUGAAUACGUUCCCGGGCCUU